Molecule: unclassified non-coding RNA, 786 nt
Filed under: Hevea brasiliensis (rubber tree)
Lineage: Eukaryota; Viridiplantae; Streptophyta; Magnoliopsida; Malpighiales; Euphorbiaceae
Source: RNAcentral
AACCUAAUAGGAAUAUGAAACUAUUAGUUAGAAAUUUUAGCUAAACUUAAAUACAAUAGGAAAUUAGAAAUAAAAUAGGAAUUAACCUAAUCUUAGAUAGAAUAAGAAAACAUAAAUCAAUAAUCCAACUAAUGAUUGGAAAACUUUUAGGACCUAUUUUGUAGUAAGGAAAAGGGAGAGGAAAAUGGUAGGGGAAGGGAAAAAAAUUACAGUUCUCUUGUUUUGUUGGAAGGAAAAAGGAAGAAGGAAAAAACUUGAAAAGUACAAUUCCCCUGUUUUGUAAGAAGGAAAAGGGGAAAGGAAAAAAAAAAUUAUGAGGACUUGUGUGGAAAAUGCUUAAAGAGUAUUUUGAGUCAUUUUGUUUUUUGUUAAAAUUGUGGGGAAAACGGAACAAUUUUUUUUUUCUGAUUUUUCUCUAUACCCCUUUUUCCUCCCAAUAGUUUUUUUUUUUUUCAUAUAAUUUUAUUUAUUUAAUGCGAACAUAAUAGUAAAUAUAAAAAAAUUCUCUCCUUGUCUUUUCAUGAAAAUAUGAAAAAUAAAUAAAUCACUUCUUUUUCUUUCCUUUUCCUAUAAAAAAGAUUUGUAUGGAAAAUAAUAAUUUCCCUUUCCAUAGGAAUUAUACUUUUCCUUAUAAUUCCACUCACUUUUCUUUCUACAAAACAAGGCCUUAGACUAAUUCUAAACUAAUUCCACAGCUAUCCCUCGAUAAAUAGGAAGUCCAAAGUGAAUUAUGAUUGAUGGAGAUAAAUUUGGACCAAUCUAGACUCCUUCAUGUUGCUGGACAGU